Molecule: ribosomal RNA, 264 nt
Filed under: uncultured bacterium
Lineage: Bacteria
Description: partial 16S ribosomal RNA
Rfam family: Bacterial small subunit ribosomal RNA
Source: RNAcentral
UACGGAGGAGGCAAGCGUUAUCCGGAAUUAUUGGGCGUAAAGCGUCCGCAGGUGGCGAUUCAAGUCUGCGGUCAAAGACUGGGGCUUAACCCCUGGAAAAGGCCGUGGAAACUGAAAAAGCUAGAGUGCAGUAGGGGUAGAGGGGAAUUCCCGGUGUAACGGUGAAAAUGCGUAGAGCUCGGGAAGAACAUCGGUGGCGAAAAGCGCUCUGCUGGACUGCAACUGACACUCAGGGACGAAAAGCUAGGGGGGAGCGAAAUGGGG